This 413-nucleotide ribosomal RNA is filed under the name uncultured microorganism. RNAcentral describes it as "bacterial SSU rRNA". It matches the Rfam family "Archaeal small subunit ribosomal RNA", at positions 459 to 872 of the family's 1478-position model. The record is from RNAcentral.
CAGCGCCGCGGUAAUACCGGCGGCCCGAGUGGCGGUCACUAUUAUUGGGCUUAAAGCGUCCGUAGCCGGGUUGGGAAGUCCUCCGGGAAAUCUGGCCGCUUAACGGUCAGAAUGCCGGAGGAUACUCCCAGCCUAGGGAGCGGGAGAGGCCGAGGGGAUUCCCGGAGUAGGGGUGAAAUCCUAUAAUCCCGGGAGGACCACCUGUGGCGAAGGCGCUCGGCUGGAACGCGUCCGACGGUGAGGGACGAAGGCCAGGGGAGCAAACCGGAUUAGAUACCCGGGUAGUCCUGGCGGUAAACGAUGCGGACUUUGUGUCGGACAAGCUAUGAGCUUGUCCGGUGCCGGAGGGAAACCGUUAAGUCCGCCGCCUGGGGAGUACGGCCGCAAGGCUGAAACUUAAAGGAAUUGGCGGG